This 109-nucleotide ribosomal RNA is filed under the name Octodon degus (degu). The record is from RNAcentral. Lineage: Eukaryota; Metazoa; Chordata; Mammalia; Rodentia; Octodontidae.
GUCUAAAGCCAUACCACCCUGAACACACCUGAUCUUGUCUGAUCUUGGAAGCUAAGUGGGGUUGGGCCUGGUUAGUACUUGGAUAGAAGAAUAUAUAUCAUUUAAGGAU